UUUGGGUUUCCAUGGGGAAAGAAACAUACAGAACAAUUAAAGCAAUCAUCUGUGAGAGCAGUGCAAAAGGUUGCAAAAGGCUGAUGGUAUUUGUCCGUUUCUGGCCAGUGGAUGGAUUCAGCUCCAACCUCCCCACAGCAAAGAUCACAGGGCAAAAGAACUUUCAGAGACAUACAAAGAGGAACUGCUGGCUGCAGGGUGGAAGCCUGAAACCAAACCCCUUCCUGACCCACCAAAGAACACCCUGGGCCAACAGGAGGAUCAGGGGGAAGAGCAGGAACAGGAUCUUCAUGGCUGCUGCCUCUCCUGGGUCUUCACAGGGCUGCAGAGGGGACACCAAGGCAAUGGGGACAUGCAGGAGCCCAGGCAGGGCAGGAGCCAGGGCUCUUCACCAAACUGCAGAUGGACUGUUUCCAAACACAGCUGAUGAUGUUUCCUCUACUUCCCUCGUAGAAAGAAUUCUGUGGUUUGUACCACCCUGUCAACCUCAGGAGCAUUUCAUGAUGCUUCAGUCUCUGGAAAAUCCAUUACCUCAUCCAGUCCUUUUCCAGAAGACCCCACAGUCACCUACCUGAUGAAGGUCUGGGUGUUCAGACAGCUCCAAACCCAACAAGAAUCGCUGUGUCCAGCAACCCUUGGGUUCAAGGAGCACUUUUUGGCCAAAACACUUUGAUUUUAUAUUGUUGCAA
Long non-coding RNA from Cyanistes caeruleus (blue tit), 689 nucleotides. RefSeq lists it as uncharacterized. The record is from RefSeq and is a predicted model, not a curated record. NCBI's taxonomy places the organism in Eukaryota, Metazoa, Chordata, Aves, Passeriformes, Paridae.